This 426-nucleotide unclassified non-coding RNA is filed under the name Hevea brasiliensis (rubber tree). The record is from RNAcentral. Lineage: Eukaryota; Viridiplantae; Streptophyta; Magnoliopsida; Malpighiales; Euphorbiaceae.
UCGGUACUGCUGGGAACCACGUGAUGUCAGAGGAGCAAAUCCAACCAUAAAGAAGUGUAGACGGGGGAAGGGGAUGAGAUUCACUGCAAGUUUCCUGAGGUCAGAGUUAAGCUGACCAGGAAACCUAAGGCAACAGGUGACCCCACUCAUAGUUGCAGAGAUCAGAUGGUUCAGAUCUCCAAAGCUGGGAGUAGUUAACUUGAGAGUCCUGAAACAGAUGUCAUACAAGGCCUCAUUGUCCAGCACCAUGCACUCAUCAGCAUUCUCAACUAACUGAUGUACAGAAAGGGUGGCAUUGUAUGGCUCAACAACAGUAUCUGAAACCUUGGGUGAUGGGAACACGGAAAAAGUGAGCAUCAUCCUGUCAGGGUAUUCCUCUCUGAUCUUAGAAAUCAAGAGAGUUCCCAUUCCAGAACCAGUUCCACC